RNAcentral lists this long non-coding RNA (5218 nucleotides) under Chinchilla lanigera (long-tailed chinchilla). RNAcentral describes it as "lncRNA (ENSCLAG00000028496.1)". Lineage: Eukaryota; Metazoa; Chordata; Mammalia; Rodentia; Chinchillidae. The record is from RNAcentral.
UUUCACUUGAAAAAGGCCUUAAGAUAUGCCUUAAAGAAAGAAAGAAAGAAAUGGUGAGGUGUCUUCCAGGCAGCACUAAGGAAAACAUAACAUGUUUGGAAAUGAUUUCUGCUUUGAUGAUUUUAUACAUACAUAAGCAUGAACACUGUGAAAUAUGUGUUGGUCUUUUGGGAAAGAGGUAGUUGCUGUUGGACCAAGAGGACACAGAUAUUAAGACUAUGGAAUGAGUGAGAAUUUGUCACUAGUUGACUUUUGGGAAGAGAACCAGUAGCUUUAUAUAUCUGCAUGGCUGAGGCAGCUGGAAGCGUGGGGCUCCUGACAUUCUGUGACACGAUUGCAUUCUAUUACCGUGGUUGCAACUGCCAACAUUUACCUGCUUUUCGUGGGUGGCCCUGCCUCUCAGUUCCUGCUGGAGUCUGAGCUACAGGCAGUGCCUUCAGCCCUGGUUCUUGAUCCUUGUUUUUAAGGUUAAGGAUUCUUGAGUGUUGUGGGUGUUGGUCAUCUUUAUCUCAACGGUAAAUUAUCUCUGGCUCUACCUCUUGCACCACGUACGUCAUCAUGGGAAUACCCAUCGACCCUUCUUGUCAUUCAAAGGCUGAAUUGAGUAUUUCAGAAACUGAACAGGAAUUGCGAUUACAGCUGGAGGAGAGUAAGGAGAAGUUUCAUGAACUCAAAGGACAUUUUCUUCUGUCUGAAGCUACUGUCUAUUCCAUGGCUAAUGAGCUAAAAAAACACAAUUGUCGAAAGUUCAAAGACAUUAUUGAGUCUGUUCUGGGCGAGAAGCUGCAGUACAAGGAAGAAAGUCUGGCUGAGAAGCUGAGCCUGGCCAAAAAUCAGAGGGAAUGCACUUUGCAAACUCAAGAUCAAGAUGGGAAGCUGUCCUUACUUCAGCAGAAAUUACAGCAGGGGAGACAUGCCUCAUUUCUCCUAUGUCAACAUCUCAAGGACAUCCUCACCCGGAAUGACCCUAAUACCAACCAGGGUCACUGCUUCCGUGAGCUACUGGCUGAAGGCGUCAGGCUGGCAGAGAACCUUGUGCAAUUGCUCAGUUCAGAUAAUCAUCAAGAUGAGGAGUGUAAAAAGGAACAUGAAUUACUGUCCCCCAGGAUGAACCCUGAGGGCGCAAACAAGGAAAAAAUUGAACAAAUACUGCAGGACUCACUGCUUGGAGACUUUACGCCUUCCUCCCAUGGCUGCAGCUUGUGUAACACCGAGGAGCCUCCUCGGACCACUGGCAAUCUGACAGAUGAACGUGAACUCUCCUUUUUCCUAGAAAAAAACUAUCCUCAGGAUGCUGAGAACCAAGACAAAGAGGCAGAGCCAGUGGAGCCCAGGUUUCUCCAAGAAAAGGAGGAUAAAAAUAAUGUACUGCAGGAGAAAAUGAAUGAGAACUUGUUGGCUAUUUCCCAUUGCCAGGACUUGUGUGUUUCCCACCAGCCUGGCAAGAGUCCAGCACCCGAGACUGAGGAGCAUGUAGCUCCCUCCAAUCUGAAUGUGACAAAAAACCAGGACAAUGAAGACAAUGAAAAAGAACAGGAAUUUCUGGCCCUCAGGCUGAGCACAGAGGGAAUGGAAAAGGAAAAAAUAACCGAACUCCUUCAAGAUUCAUUAGGUGAAGGCCCUAAGACACGCACCCGUCACUACAACUUACCUGACAACCAGGAGCCUUGCUGCACUGCAGCUGUGCUGGCAGAUGCACAUGAAGUCUCAUCAUCUCUGGAUGCAGCGCAAAAUACCCAUGAUUAUAAGGAUGAAGACCCACAACCAAAGGCCUCCAGGAAAUAUUUUGGCAUAAUUCAGGCUCAUGCCAAGAAGCUGUCCCAGCUACGAAAGCAGCUAAGUGAAGCGAAAGAUACCUCUUUGUCCCUUGGACAGCAUCUGGAAUUUCUACUCACCCAAGAUGACGCUGAAGGCUACCAGGUUCAGGGCCACAUACAACAACUGGCCCAGGGGUGCAAGAUGGCUGAGAAUCUUGUCCUGAAGCUCAGUGAAGGAAAUAAUGAACAGGGAAAUAAUGGAAAAGAAGAAAAAGAACUUCUUUCUAAAAUGGAUGAUGAGGAUGGGGAUUUCAAUUUUCUAAUUGAAGUUCAGGCUCAAGACCUGACUAAAUUUAGGCUGAAGUUGGAGGCAGGGAGAGAGACAGCCUUUAUGCUCCAUCAGACUCUCAGCAGUCUCUUCCCUGAAGAUGACCAACACGGACACCAGAUGCAGAGUCACAGAGACAGACUUGCUGAGGGGUGCAAGCUGGCCAAGUGCCUUGCAUGCAGACUUAGCUCAGAUAAUCUAGACGAGGAGAAUGAGGAUGAUCAAAUGAUCCUGGAUUCCAGUCUGUGCGAAGAGGAAGAAGGUGAACUUCUGCCACAUCCACUAGAUGAAAAGUACUUGCUCCCUACCUGUCAUCCUGAUGUGGCUGAGCCACAGGAAUGUGCAGGCGGCGAUGCCUCCCCAUCACAGAAGCCUGAACAGUACUCUGCUCUGGGUGGAUCCGCUACUAUGAAGGAGGCCUGUGCCCAAGGUCUGUCGAAUGGAGAAUUCAGCUCCCACUUCUCAGAGCUGCAAGCUUCCCAGGCACAGGUGGAAUCACGCAUCCAGGGGAACCCUCGUCUGGGAAUACAGCUGUGUCAGUACUUCGACUAUCCUGACUGCAAAGCCAGGCUGAGCCUUUCUUCUGCCACUUGGGGCUUUGCAGCAUCCACUCACUGUGGUAGCCAGUGCCAGCCCUUCCAAGAGCUGAAUUUGGAUGCUUCUUUUGGAAUCAAGGGUUCUCCCAAGCUGGAGGGUUAUGCCUUUGAAGGAUCAGCAGCUGUCAUUCGUGGGUUUCCGAUCCAUGGCCUCUGUGAUACUGACAGUGUCCUGAAGCAGAAGAUUAUGAAAACUAAACUCUGGCUGUGCAAGUGGAAAAGAGCUUGCAGAGUCCCAGGCCUUCAGCUGAAGAUGGGUAUUUCCCGUGGAAUGAAUAAUUAUUACAAGCUGGAAAGUGAUGCCUGUGCAGGCUCAGCUGCCAUCAUUCACAGGUUUCCAAUCCAUGACCUUUAUGAUGCUGACAGUGUCUCGAAAGAGAAGAUCACCAAGAAAGAACUACCAUUAUGCAAGUGGAAAAUAGCUUGCAGAUUUCCAGGACUUCAUGCUUAAGAGUGAAGAUACUGAGAAUGGCUGAAAGGAAGAAAAGACAUUGCUGAAGAAGAGAACUGAAACAUGAAGCCUAGUUUUUCCACUUCAUCAAAAAAAAUAGAAAACAGAAACUCAAUUUAAAGUCUGAAGAGAACACUGGAGUGAUUCCUUGUGAUCACUGAAUUUCAAAGCCCCUAAUUUCUCUUGAUGGUUUUCACUCCAACAGCCCAGUUGUAUUGGAUAAAUUCCAAUUCCUUGCCUCUGAUUUUGUGAAAUACCUGUGAAGAUUAAGACCUAAAUUUACAGAGCCAACAGAGAGACCUUAUUUCUGGUCCACUUAAUUCCCACUCUGCAUAAGACCAAAGGCAACAGCAGCUGGAUGAAGACAGCAAGGCCAGGUGGGCACUGCUUCCCACUGUGAUGCGUUAUGAGCGGGCAGUUGUAGCUAUGCAGUGUUUUCCUGAGGUGCUCAGCCUGGGUGUAACACAAGGAAACUGUCAGACAGAUGAAUAGUGUAGACCUAUGACCAGGAGAGCUGACAGCUUUUCCUCAGUCCAUGUCACCACAAGUACAGGACAAAAUGAAGAGGAGACACUUGCUUUUGAAAAACAUCCAUCACAUAUAUAUGUACAGUGGUACCUGGGUUCAUGAACUUAAUUCUCUCUCUGAUUCUGGUCACCAGCUGAAUUGGAUGAGGACCAAAUCAAAUUUCCUUAUAAGGUUAACAUUGAACCUGACUGCUGAAUUUGAUUUGGUUCUUGUCCAAUUCAGUUUGCAGCCAUAAUCGUGGAAAGAAUUAAGUUCAUGAACCGAGAUACCCCUGUAUAUCUUAUUUACUCAAAAAUAAAAUCUAGCCAGGAAGGAGUCAGCCUUGGGAACUAGAGAUCACAAAUGCCAGCCCCAAUCAGCUUAUCCUUGCCUUCGCUGCCUUCACUAUUCUCUUGCUCCAUGGCUGCUCCGGAAGGCAAGGAUAAGCUGAUUGGGCUGGCAGUUUUGAUCUCUAGUUUUCAAGGCUGAUUAUUUUCUGGCCAGGUCUUAUUUUCAGGGAGAAAAGGUAUGUUAGUGCUUUUGAAACGCAAACCUCUCCUCUCCUUUUUGUCCUCACAUUUGUAGGUGAAAUUGACUUGUGUGUAGAGGACAGGUCAGUUGUUGUCUGACUCCUGGCCUAUAUUUGGCUGCUGUGUGACUAUUUCUUCGGGAUUAAACUCAGCCUAAACAUAUAGCCAAAAACACCAGGCAGCAAGCACACAUAGUACCCCACACUUCCUGCCACUUUCUGCCUGCAGGCAGUGUCCACUUUGUAUAUCGCCCUUUACUUCCUGUUGGCUCUGGUCACCUGGCAAAGGAGGCAUCCUCUGGAGCUGUCCAGGGGGUAGACACAUUGUGCCCUCAAUAAUUCUGAAGCGGUUUCUAGGCAGCUAUUUUGAGAAAGUGAAAAACAUCUUAUUUUCCAGUGGUUUUUCUUUAAAAACGUUGCCAGCUUAUAUCGUCGCUACCUGCAUAAAUUGUUAUACCUGGACAUAUCCUGGCCAUUGGGUAAUUCAGUGUUUCCUGUUUAUCAGUUUUCUGGCAUUCUGAUAAAAAACCCCACCGUCUCCUUGAGUUUUAAUUUUAAUCCAAAGCUGAUAUUCACAUCAAUAAUUAAAACAUUUUUGUUUUUCAGUAUGGACUCAUGGAUGUUUUUAUAUUCAAUGUUAUAACAUUUUAUUACUACUAUCAAUUUGAUGAAUAAGGGUAAAAAUCAAUAUAAACUCUGUCAUUUUACUACUUGGAGUCUACAUUCUUCCAUAUCUUUUAAAUUGCAUUUAUUAUAUGUGAUAGAUUAUAUUACUUGUAGUUCUGUCUUUUUGUUAUUUGUGUGUGUUCUGUUUGGCAUUUAGGAAAUAUUGUUUAGCUCAUUUUUAACAUUAGUGUAAAAUAUCUUUGACAAUUUUAGUUUCCUUUACCUGGAAAAUAUCUAAUAUGUGGCUUAUGAAUUUGACAUGAUAUUUUUCAAACUCAAAGGUUGAUGGUCAGUGACGUUAUUCAUUAUCUUCAUUUCUACUCACUAUAUCUGCCACUAGAGUGUCAUUUCACCCAUUCAAAUAUAUUCCAAGUACAUUUUUCC